GAAAUAAAAUUUUAAAGCUGCUAACUUUAUUACAUAUGAUAGUUUCAUAUUUAUUUCU
RNAcentral lists this transfer RNA (58 nucleotides) under Sirex nitobei. RNAcentral describes it as "tRNA-Ser". The record is from RNAcentral. Lineage: Eukaryota; Metazoa; Arthropoda; Insecta; Hymenoptera; Siricidae.